Molecule: ribosomal RNA, 2902 nt
Filed under: Escherichia coli UMEA 3117-1
Lineage: Bacteria; Pseudomonadati; Pseudomonadota; Gammaproteobacteria; Enterobacterales; Enterobacteriaceae
Description: bacterial LSU rRNA
Rfam family: Bacterial large subunit ribosomal RNA
Source: RNAcentral
UUAAGCGACUAAGCGUACACGGUGGAUGCCCUGGCAGUCAGAGGCGAUGAAGGACGUGCUAAUCUGCGAUAAGCGUCGGUGAGGUGAUAUGAACCGUUAUAACCGGCGAUUUCCGAAUGGGGAAACCCAGUGUGUUUCGACACACUAUCAUUAACUGAAUCCAUAGGUUAAUGAGGCGAACCGGGGGAACUGAAACAUCUAAGUACCCCGAGGAAAAGAAAUCAACCGAGAUUCCCCCAGUAGCGGCGAGCGAACGGGGAGGAGCCCAGAGCCUGAAUCAGUGUGUGUGUUAGUGGAAGCGUCUGGAAAGGCGUGCGAUACAGGGUGACAGCCCCGUACACAAAAAUGCACAUAUUGUGAGCUCGAUGAGUAGGGCGGGACACGUGGUAUCCUGUCUGAAUAUGGGGGGACCAUCCUCCAAGGCUAAAUACUCCUGACUGACCGAUAGUGAACCAGUACCGUGAGGGAAAGGCGAAAAGAACCCCGGCGAGGGGAGUGAAAAAGAACCUGAAACCGUGUACGUACAAGCAGUGGGAGCCUCUUAAUGAGGUGACUGCGUACCUUUUGUAUAAUGGGUCAGCGACUUAUAUUCUGUAGCAAGGUUAACCGAAUAGGGGAGCCGAAGGGAAACCGAGUCUUAACUGGGCGUUAAGUUGCAGGGUAUAGACCCGAAACCCGGUGAUCUAGCCAUGGGCAGGUUGAAGGUUGGGUAACACUAACUGGAGGACCGAACCGACUAAUGUUGAAAAAUUAGCGGAUGACUUGUGGCUGGGGGUGAAAGGCCAAUCAAACCGGGAGAUAGCUGGUUCUCCCCGAAAGCUAUUUAGGUAGCGCCUCGUGAAUUCAUCUCCGGGGGUAGAGCACUGUUUCGGCAAGGGGGUCAUCCCGACUUACCAACCCGAUGCAAACUGCGAAUACCGGAGAAUGUUAUCACGGGAGACACACGGCGGGUGCUAACGUCCGUCGUGAAGAGGGAAACAACCCAGACCGCCAGCUAAGGUCCCAAAGUCAUGGUUAAGUGGGAAACGAUGUGGGAAGGCCCAGACAGCCAGGAUGUUGGCUUAGAAGCAGCCAUCAUUUAAAGAAAGCGUAAUAGCUCACUGGUCGAGUCGGCCUGCGCGGAAGAUGUAACGGGGCUAAACCAUGCACCGAAGCUGCGGCAGCGACACUAUGUGUUGUUGGGUAGGGGAGCGUUCUGUAAGCCUGUGAAGGUGGCCUGUGAGGGUUGCUGGAGGUAUCAGAAGUGCGAAUGCUGACAUAAGUAACGAUAAAGCGGGUGAAAAGCCCGCUCGCCGGAAGACCAAGGGUUCCUGUCCAACGUUAAUCGGGGCAGGGUGAGUCGACCCCUAAGGCGAGGCCGAAAGGCGUAGUCGAUGGGAAACAGGUUAAUAUUCCUGUACUUGGUGUUACUGCGAAGGGGGGACGGAGAAGGCUAUGUUGGCCGGGCGACGGUUGUCCCGGUUUAAGCGUGUAGGCUGGUUUUCCAGGCAAAUCCGGAAAACCAAGGCUGAGGCGUGAUGACGAGGCACUACGGUGCUGAAGCGACAAAUGCCCUGCUUCCAGGAAAAGCCUCUAAGCAUCAGGUAACAUCAAAUCGUACCCCAAACCGACACAGGUGGUCAGGUAGAGAAUACCAAGGCGCUUGAGAGAACUCGGGUGAAGGAACUAGGCAAAAUGGUGCCGUAACUUCGGGAGAAGGCACGCUGAUAUGUAGGUGAAGCGACUUGCUCGUGGAGCUGAAAUCAGUCGAAGAUACCAGCUGGCUGCAACUGUUUAUUAAAAACACAGCACUGUGCAAACACGAAAGUGGACGUAUACGGUGUGACGCCUGCCCGGUGCCGGAAGGUUAAUUGAUGGGGUUAGCGGUAACGCGAAGCUCUUGAUCGAAGCCCCGGUAAACGGCGGCCGUAACUAUAACGGUCCUAAGGUAGCGAAAUUCCUUGUCGGGUAAGUUCCGACCUGCACGAAUGGCGUAAUGAUGGCCAGGCUGUCUCCACCCGAGACUCAGUGAAAUUGAACUCGCUGUGAAGAUGCAGUGUACCCGCGGCAAGACGGAAAGACCCCGUGAACCUUUACUAUAGCUUGACACUGAACAUUGAGCCUUGAUGUGUAGGAUAGGUGGGAGGCUUUGAAGUGUGGACGCCAGUCUGCAUGGAGCCGGCCUUGAAAUACCACCCUUUAAUGUUUGAUGUUCUAACGUUGGCCCGUAAUCCGGGUUGCGGACAGUGUCUGGUGGGUAGUUUGACUGGGGCGGUCUCCUCCUAAAGAGUAACGGAGGAGCACGAAGGUUGGCUAAUCCUGGUCGGACAUCAGGAGGUUAGUGCAAUGGCAUAAGCCAGCUUGACUGCGAGCGUGACGGCGCGAGCAGGUGCGAAAGCAGGUCAUAGUGAUCCGGUGGUUCUGAAUGGAAGGGCCAUCGCUCAACGGAUAAAAGGUACUCCGGGGAUAACAGGCUGAUACCGCCCAAGAGUUCAUAUCGACGGCGGUGUUUGGCACCUCGAUGUCGGCUCAUCACAUCCUGGGGCUGAAGUAGGUCCCAAGGGUAUGGCUGUUCGCCAUUUAAAGUGGUACGCGAGCUGGGUUUAGAACGUCGUGAGACAGUUCGGUCCCUAUCUGCCGUGGGCGCUGGAGAACUGAGGGGGGCUGCUCCUAGUACGAGAGGACCGGAGUGGACGCAUCACUGGUGUUCGGGUUGUCAUGCCAAUGGCACUGCCCGGUAGCUAAAUGCGGAAGAGAUAAGUGCUGAAAGCAUCUAAGCACGAAACUUGCCCCGAGAUGAGUUCUCCCUGACCCCUUGAGGGUCCUGAAGGAACGUUGAAGACGACGACGUUGAUAGGCCGGGUGUGUAAGCGCAGCGAUGCGUUGAGCUAACCGGUACUAAUGAACCGUGAGGCUUAACCUU